This 447-nucleotide small RNA is filed under the name Pongo abelii (Sumatran orangutan). RNAcentral's name for it is "retained intron". Lineage: Eukaryota; Metazoa; Chordata; Mammalia; Primates; Hominidae. The record is from RNAcentral.
UUUGGACUCUUUGAAUGAUGUUUUAUUAUUCGAAACACUUUUGUGAAAUAAUGACCUUUGUAUUUAAAUUGCAUUUUUCUUGCAUAUAUGUAAAGCAUUGAAACAGGUGGACUCAAGCCAAUUCUCUGUCUCUUUUCUGGCACUAUAGUUAUAGAUGUAAGCAGAAGAACAGCUUGUUUGAAGUAAUGGCAUGUUUGAAUGUUGUCUUUCUCUUUCCUCUGCCAGGGAGGACAUGUAUGCCCAGGACUCUAUAGAGCUACUAACAACAUCUGGUAUCCAGUUUAAAAAACAUGAGGAGGAAGGAAUUGAAACCCAGUACUUUGCAGAACUUCUUAUGACUUCUGGAGUGGUCCUCUGUGAAGGGGUCAAAUGGUUGUCAUUUCAUAGCGGUUACGACUUUGGCUACUUAAUCAAAAUCCUAACCAACUCUAACUUGCCUGAAGAAGA